CAAGGCCUUUACUGACGCUAAAGCUCGAAGGUGCGGGUAUCGAACAGGAUUAGAUACCCUGGUAGUCCGCACGGUAAACGAUGGAUGCCCGCUGUUGGCGAUACAAUGUCAGCGGCCAAGCGAAAGCGUUAAGCAUCCCACCUGGGGAGUACGCCGGCAACGGUGAAACUCAAAGGAAUUGACGGGGGCCCGCACAAGCGGAGGAACAUGUGGUUUAAUUCGAUGAUACGCGAGGAACCUUACCCGGGCUUGAACUGCAGCAGAACGAUUCAGAGAUGAAGAGGCCCUUCGGGGCUGCUGUGGAGGUGCUGCAUGGUUGUCGUCAGCUCGUGCCGUGAGGUGUCGGCUUAAGUGCCAUAACGAGCGCAACCCCUUUCAUUAGUUGCCAUCAGGUAAUGCUGGGCACUCUGGUGAUACUGCCACCGUAAGGUGUGAGGAAGGUGGGGAUGACGUCAAAUCAGCACGGCCCUUACGUCCGGGGCUACACACGUGUUACAAUGGGUGGUACAGAGAGUCAGUGGGUCGCAAGUCCCAUUCAAUCAUGAAAGCCAUCCUCAGUUCGGAUUGGGGUCUGCAACCCGACCCCAUGAAGCUGGAUUCG
This 601-nucleotide ribosomal RNA is filed under the name uncultured bacterium. Its description in RNAcentral is "bacterial SSU rRNA". It matches the Rfam family "Bacterial small subunit ribosomal RNA", at positions 729 to 1334 of the family's 1533-position model. The record is from RNAcentral.